GGGGAUGUAGCUCAGUGGAAGAGUGCCCACUUCGCAUGUCGGCGGUCCUGGGUUCAGGUGCCAGCAUCUCCA
RNAcentral lists this transfer RNA (72 nucleotides) under Gavia stellata (red-throated loon). It matches the Rfam family "tRNA". Rfam says of the family: Transfer RNA (tRNA) molecules are approximately 80 nucleotides in length. Their secondary structure includes four short double-helical elements and three loops (D, anti-codon, and T loops). Further hydrogen bonds mediate the characteristic L-shaped molecular structure. tRNAs have two regions of fundamental functional importance: the anti-codon, which is responsible for specific mRNA codon recognition, and the 3' end, to which the tRNAs corresponding amino acid is attached (by aminoacyl-tRNA synthetases). tRNAs cope with the degeneracy of the genetic code in two manners: having more than one tRNA (with a specific anti-codon) for a particular amino acid; and 'wobble' base-pairing, i.e. permitting non-standard base-pairing at the 3rd anti-codon position. The record is from Rfam by way of RNAcentral. Lineage: Eukaryota; Metazoa; Chordata; Aves; Gaviiformes; Gaviidae.